Molecule: ribosomal RNA, 253 nt
Filed under: uncultured bacterium
Lineage: Bacteria
Description: partial 16S ribosomal RNA
Rfam family: Bacterial small subunit ribosomal RNA
Source: RNAcentral
UACGUAGGGCGCAAGCGUUGUCCGGAAUUAUUGGGCGUAAAGAGCUCGUAGGCGGCCUGUUGCGUCUGCUGUGAAAUCCCGGGGCUUAACCCCGGGCGUGCAGUGGAUACGGGCAGGCUAGAGUUCGGCAGGGGAGACUGGAAUUCCUGGUGUAGCGGUGAAAUGCGCAGAUAUCAGGAGGAACACCGGUGGCGAAGGCGGGUCUCUGGGCCGAUACUGACGCUGAGGAGCGAAAGCGUGGGGAGCGAACAGG